RNAcentral lists this ribosomal RNA (301 nucleotides) under uncultured bacterium. Its description in RNAcentral is "partial 16S ribosomal RNA". It matches the Rfam family "Bacterial small subunit ribosomal RNA", at positions 509 to 807 of the family's 1533-position model. The record is from RNAcentral.
CAGCCGCCGCGGGAAUACAGAGGGUGCAAGCGUUAAUCGGAAUUACUGGGCGUAAAGCGCGCGUAGGUGGUUCGCCAAGUUGGAUGUGAAAUCCCCGGGCUCAACCUGGGAACUGCAUUGGUGACUGCAACGCUGGAGUGCGGCAGAGGGGGAUGGAAUUCCGCGUGUAGCAGUGAAAUGCGUAGAUAUGCGGAGGAACACCGAUGGCGAAGGCAAUCCCCUGGGCCUGCACUGACGCUCAUGCACGAAAGCGUGGGGAGUAAACAGGAUUAGAGACCCCAGUAGUCCCUGUCUCUUAUAC